GAUCAUGGCUCAGAUUGAACGCUGGCGGAAUGCUUUACACAUGCAAGUCGAACGGUAGAGGGGGCAACCCCUUGAGAGUGGCGAACGGGUGAGUAAUAUAUCGGAAGUGCCCAGUCGUGGGGGAUAACGUAGCGAAAGUUACGCUAAUACCGCAUACGAUCUACGGAUGAAAGCGGGGGAUCGCAAGACCUCGCGCGAUUGGAGCGGCCGAUAUCAGAUUAGGUAGUUGGGUGAGGUAAAGGCUCACCAAGCCGACGAUCUGUAGCUGGUCUGAGAGGACGACCAGCCACACUGGGACUGAGACACGGCCCAGACUCCUACGGGAGGCAGCAGUGGGGAAUUUUGGACAAUGGGCGCAAGCCUGAUCCAGCAAUGCCGCGUGCAGGAUGAGGGCCUUCGGGUUGUAAACUGCUUUUGUACGGAACGAAACGGUGAGCUCUAAUACAGUUUGCUAAUGACGGUACCGUAAGAAUAAGCACCGGCUAACUACGUG
This 493-nucleotide ribosomal RNA is filed under the name uncultured bacterium. RNAcentral's name for it is "bacterial SSU rRNA". It matches the Rfam family "Bacterial small subunit ribosomal RNA", at positions 15 to 507 of the family's 1533-position model. The record is from RNAcentral.